AUUGAACGCUGGCGGAAUGCUUUACACAUGCAAGUCGAGCGGCAGCACGGGGGCAACCCUGGUGGCGAGCGGCGAACGGGUGAGUAAUACAUCGGAACAUGCCCAGUCGUGGGGGAUAACACUUCGAAAGAAGUGCUAAUACCGCAUACGUCCUGAGGGGGAAAGCGGGGGAUCGCAAGACCUCGCGCGAUUGGAGUGGCCGAUGUCAGAUUAGCUAGUUGGUGGGGUAAAGGCCUACCAAGGCAACGAUCUGUAGCUGGUCUGAGAGGAUGAUCAGCCACACUGGGACUGAGACACGGCCCAGACUCCUACGGGAGGCAGCAGUGGGGAAUUUUGGACAAUGGGGGCAACCCUGAUCCAGCCAUUCCGCGUGAGUGAAGAAGGCCUUCGGGUUGUAAAGCUCUUUCGGCAGGAACGAAACGGUGAGCUCUGACAUAGCUUGCUAAUGACGGUACCUGAAGAAGAAGCACCGGCUAACUACGUG
This 484-nucleotide ribosomal RNA is filed under the name uncultured bacterium. RNAcentral describes it as "partial 16S ribosomal RNA". It matches the Rfam family "Bacterial small subunit ribosomal RNA", at positions 30 to 507 of the family's 1533-position model. The record is from RNAcentral.